AGGCGUGUAGCUCAGUGGGAGAGCGCUACCUUGACACGGUAGAGGUCGGCGGUUCGAAACCGCCCACGCCUA
This 72-nucleotide transfer RNA is filed under the name Myxococcales bacterium. RNAcentral describes it as "tRNA-Val". It matches the Rfam family "tRNA". From Rfam's summary of the family: Transfer RNA (tRNA) molecules are approximately 80 nucleotides in length. Lineage: Bacteria; Pseudomonadati; Myxococcota; Myxococcia; Myxococcales. The record is from RNAcentral.